AAAUUGAAGAGUUUGAUCAUGGCUCAGAUUGAACGCUGGCGGCAGGCCUAACACAUGCAAGUCGAACGGUAACAGGAAACAGCUUGCUGUUUCGCUGACGAGUGGCGGACGGGUGAGUAAUGUCUGGGAAACUGCCCGAUGGAGGGGGAUAACUACUGGAAACGGUAGCUAAUACCGCAUAACGUCGCAAGACCAAAGAGGGGGACCUUCGGGCCUCUUGCCAUCGGAUGUGCCCAGAUGGGAUUAGCUAGUAGGUGGGGUAACGGCUCACCUAGGCGACGAUCCCUAGCUGGUCUGAGAGGAUGACCAGCCACACUGGAACUGAGACACGGUCCAGACUCCUACGGGAGGCAGCAGUGGGGAAUAUUGCACAAUGGGCGCAAGCCUGAUGCAGCCAUGCCGCGUGUAUGAAGAAGGCCUUCGGGUUGUAAAGUACUUUCAGCGGGGAGGAAGGGAGUAAAGUUAAUACCUUUGCUCAUUGACGUUACCCGCAGAAGAAGCACCGGCUAACUCCGUGCCAGCAGCCGCGGUAAUACGGAGGGUGCAAGCGUUAAUCGGAAUUACUGGGCGUAAAGCGCACGCAGGCGGUUUGUUAAGUCAGAUGUGAAAUCC
This 612-nucleotide ribosomal RNA is filed under the name Escherichia coli. Its description in RNAcentral is "bacterial SSU rRNA". It matches the Rfam family "Bacterial small subunit ribosomal RNA", at positions 1 to 602 of the family's 1533-position model. The record is from RNAcentral. Lineage: Bacteria; Pseudomonadati; Pseudomonadota; Gammaproteobacteria; Enterobacterales; Enterobacteriaceae.